Molecule: ribosomal RNA, 751 nt
Filed under: uncultured bacterium
Lineage: Bacteria
Description: bacterial SSU rRNA
Rfam family: Bacterial small subunit ribosomal RNA
Source: RNAcentral
CGCUGGCGGCGUGCCUAACACAUGCAAGUCGUACGAGAAAGUCGGCUUCGGCCGAUGAGUAAAGUGGCGCACGGGUGAGUAACGCGUGGAUAAUCUACCCUUUAGUCUGGAAUAACUUGCCGAAAGGUGAACUAAUACCGGAUAAUAUCCCGGAUUCUCCGGAAACCGGGAUCAAAGAAGGCUUCUGUUUACAUGCUUUUGCUGAAGGAUGAGUCCGCGUACCAUUAGCUAGUUGGUGGGGUAACGGCCUACCAAGGUUAUGAUGGUUAGCUGGUCUGAGAGGAUGAUCAGCCACACUGGAACUGAGACACGGUCCAGACUCCUACGGGAGGCAGCAGUGAGGAAUAUUGCGCAAUGGGGGCAACCCUGACGCAGCAACGCCGCGUGAGUGAGGAAGGUUUCGGAAUGUAAAGCUUGUCGAGCGGAAAAGAAAUGGCAUGGUGGGCUAAUAUCCAUUCUGCUUGGACGGGUACCCGCUAGAGGAAAGCACCCGGCUAAACUUCCGUGCCCAGCAGCCCGCGGUAAUACGGGGGGGUGGCAAGCGUUUGUUUCGGAAUCAUUGGGGCGUAAAAGAGCGUGUAGGCGGCUUUGACAAGUCAGAGCGUGAAAUCCCCUGGGCUUCAACCCCAGGAAAGUGCAUUUGAAACUGUUCGGCUGGAGUAAGGGAGUGGAAAGUGGAAUUUCCUAGGUGUAGAGGUGAAAUUCGUAGAUAUCAGAGGAAACACCGGUGGCGAAAGGCGACUUUUCUGGC